AAAUGAGCAAUAAAUCUCGGGAAAAACAGACGCGCUUGUUGUUUUAAUCGCCGUCAUGAACAGACACAACAGCAUACUGACACAGCGGCUUAGAGAUCUCCAAAGGCACCGGUGAGCGCGCGGGUGAGCAUGCCCGGUGACGUAGCGGCCCCGUCCGUGUGGGAAGUGGUGAGCGUGCUGGGCAGAGCGUUGUGCGCAGGCGCGGCUCUUACAGCCGCUCUCUACCUGAUCCGCAGAGUGUGUUUAAUAAUGGCCUGGAAAUCAGGAGGAGCCAACCAAGCGGAGCUUGUCAACAACCUCCGCAAGAAUGGCAUCAUCAAGUCGGACCGUGUGUACGAAGUCAUGCUAAGCACAGACCGAGCCCAUUUCUCCAGAUGUAACCCUUAUAUGGACUCUCCACAGUCUAUAGGAUACCAGGCAACCAUCAGUGCGCCACAUAUGCAUGCAUAUGCACUGGAGUUGUUACAUGAUCAGCUAUAUGAAGGUGCCAAAGCUCUGGAUGUGGGAUCAGGCAGCGGCAUCCUGUCCGUCUGUUUCGCCAGAAUGGUGGGGCCAAAAGGAAAAGUCAUCGGGAUCGACCACAUAAAGGAACUGGUGGACGACUCGAUCAACAACGUUAAGAAGGAUGAUCCCACUCUGAUAUCAUCAGGUCGCAUCAAACUUCUCGUUGGAGAUGGCAGGUUGGGCUAUCCGGAGGAGGCUCCCUAUGAUGCGAUACACGUAGGAGCCGCAGCUCCCUCUGUUCCACAGGCUUUACUGGACCAGCUGAAGCCUGGUGGGCGUCUCAUCCUGCCAGUCGGACCAGCUGGAGGGAACCAGAUGCUGGAGCAGCAUGACAAGCUGGAGGACGGCAGCACCAAAAUGAAGCCCCUCAUGGGGGUGAUUUACGUGCCUUUAACAGACAAAGACAAGCAGUGGUCCAGGUGGAAGUGACUUCCUGUUCCUCUCUUCCCCCUCCCUCCUUUCCCCAGGGAACAGGUGAAAAUGGUGUGGAGCAAGACAAGGCUGCCUUUGCUGGAUGAGCUCUAAAACAACAAUCUGGCAAUAUUCACGAUCAUACAUACACACACAUACACACACACACACACACAUACAGCAUCCAUCUGGACUUAACAACUAACGACAGGAUGGUAAACGGACGACGAAGAAAAGCCACGCUCUCUGCACUCUCGCUCUCGGGACAGUCUGAUCGCCGUGUGGCCAAAGAGCCAUCAGGAUGGAUAAAACAGACGGCUUUAAAAAAAAACAAAAAAACAACAACAACAAAGGAAAAUAAAAACUAAAUGAGGGGCUUUGUCUUGA
Ictalurus furcatus (blue catfish) is the source of this 1302-nucleotide RNA transcript. It is a transcript of the gene named protein-L-isoaspartate (D-aspartate) O-methyltransferase, with no coding region annotated. The transcript is spliced from 8 exons. The record is from RefSeq and is a predicted model, not a curated record. Lineage: Eukaryota; Metazoa; Chordata; Actinopteri; Siluriformes; Ictaluridae.